RNAcentral lists this ribosomal RNA (492 nucleotides) under uncultured bacterium. RNAcentral describes it as "partial 16S ribosomal RNA". It matches the Rfam family "Bacterial small subunit ribosomal RNA", at positions 29 to 507 of the family's 1533-position model. The record is from RNAcentral.
AGUGAACGCUGGCGGUAGGCCUAGCACAUGCAAGUCGAACGGCAGCAUAGUAAGAGCUUGCUCUUACGGGUGGCGAGUGGCGGACGGGUGCGGAAUACAUCGGAAUCUACUUUUUCGUGGGGGAUAACGUAGGGAAACUUACGCUAAUACCGCAUACGACCUACGGGUGAAAGCAGGGGAUCUUCGGACCUUGCGCGAUUGAAUGAGCCGAUGUCGGAUUAGCUAGUUUGCGGGGUAAAGGCCCACCAAGGCGACGAUCCGUAGCUGGUCUGAGAGGAUGAUCAGCCACACUGGAACUGAGACACGGUCCAGACUCCUACGGGAGGCAGCAGUGGGGAAUAUUGCACAAUGGGCGCCAGCCUGAUCCAGCCAUACCGCAUGAGUGAAGAAGGCCUUCGGGUUGUAAAGCCCUUUUGUUGGGACAGAAAAGCAGCAGCUUAAUACCCCGCUGUUCUGACGGUACCCAAAGAAUAAGCACCGGCUAACUUCGUG